UGCGUAGGCGGAAAAUUAAGUCAGUAAUGAAAUCCUACAGCUUAACUGUAGAACUGUUAUUGAUACUGGUUUUCUUGAAUACAGUUGAGGCAGGCGGAAUGUGUAAUGUAGCGGUGAAAUGCUUAGAUAUUACACAGAACACCGAUUGCGAAGGCAGCUUGCUAAACUGUGAUUGACGCUGAGGCACGAAAGCGUGGGUAGCAAACAGGAUUAGAUACCCUGGUAGUCC
This 229-nucleotide ribosomal RNA is filed under the name uncultured bacterium. RNAcentral's name for it is "partial 16S ribosomal RNA". It matches the Rfam family "Bacterial small subunit ribosomal RNA", at positions 568 to 796 of the family's 1533-position model. The record is from RNAcentral.